UACGGGAGGCAGCAGUGGGGAAUAUUGCACAAUGGGGGAAACCCUGAUGCAGCAACGCCGCGUGAACGAUGAAGGCCUUUGGGUCGUAAAGUUCUGUUCUAGGUGAUGAAAACUGACAGUAACCUAGGAGAAAGCCCCGGCUAACUCCGUGCCAGCAGCCGCGGUAAU
This 168-nucleotide ribosomal RNA is filed under the name uncultured Eubacterium sp. RNAcentral describes it as "partial 16S ribosomal RNA". It matches the Rfam family "Bacterial small subunit ribosomal RNA", at positions 340 to 524 of the family's 1533-position model. Lineage: Bacteria; Bacillati; Bacillota; Clostridia; Eubacteriales; Eubacteriaceae. The record is from RNAcentral.